This 252-nucleotide ribosomal RNA is filed under the name uncultured bacterium. RNAcentral's name for it is "partial 16S ribosomal RNA". It matches the Rfam family "Bacterial small subunit ribosomal RNA", at positions 524 to 776 of the family's 1533-position model. The record is from RNAcentral.
UACGUAGGGUGCAAGCGUUGUCCGGAAUUAUUGGGCGUAAAGAGCUCGUAGGCGGUCUGUUGCGUCGGCUGUGAAAACCCGGGGCUCAACCCCGGGCCUGCAGCCGAUACGGGCAGACUAGAGUUCGGCAGGGGAGACUGGAAUUCCUGGUGUAGCGGUGAAAUGCGCAGAUAUCAGGAGGAACACCGGUGGCGAAGGCGGUCUCUGGGAAUAUCCUGACGCUGAGGAGCGAAAGUGUGGGGAGCGAACAGG